GGGCUGAAAGUUAAAUGGUAGUAGGUAGAAGGGUAACUGUAAUAGUAUAUGUUUAGUGCAACAAAUUCUCAGUCGACGAAAAGUAAAAGACGACUACAACCUUCGCCGGCGCCGGAAUUUAGAUUGAACUGAGAACUUAACGGCCGCAAGUGAGGAAGAUGGUGAAGGCAAUCAUAGCACCGUCGAUGCUGUCAUCGGACUUUGCUAAUUUGGCCUCUGAAGCAGAGCGCAUGCUCAAUUGCGGUGCGGAUUGGCUCCAUAUGGACAUCAUGGACGGUCACUUUGUCCCAAACCUUACCCUCGGUGCUCCAAUUAUCGAGAGUCUGAGAAAGCAUACAAAGGCAUAUCUGGACUGCCACCUAAUGGUCACCAACCCCCUCGAUUAUGUGGAACCGCUUGGCAAAGCUGGUGCCUCAGGCUUUACGUUCCAUAUUGAGGCAUCUAGAGAUAAUUGGCAAGAGCUUGUUCAACGGAUAAAGUCUAAGGGCAUGAAACCUGGGGUUUCUUUGAAGCCUGGUACACCAAUUGAAGAAGUGUACCCACUGCUUGAUGGUGAAAAUGCUAUCGAACUGGUCCUUGUUAUGACUGUUGAGCCUGGUUUUGGUGGACAAAAGUUUAUGCCAGAGAUGAUGGAUAAGGUACACACUCUCAGAAAAAAGUAUCCAUCACUUGAUAUAGAGGUGGAUGGUGGUCUAGGACCUUCAACCAUUGAGGCAGCAACAUCAGCUGGAGCAAACUGCAUAGUUGCAGGAAGUUCAGUAUUUGGAGCUCCAGAUCCAGCACAAGUCAUAACUUUGCUGCGAGGCAGUGUGGAGGAAGCUCAGAAAAGGAGUUGAUUCCAGAAGAGGCAAGAUCUCGUGUUGUAUUUUAACAACUAUUACCUUAUUUAUAAUUUCCGCGGAAUCAAUAUCUCCAGAUGCCUGCACUUGUUGAGUUAUCCAAGUUCUAUUCGUUGAAUAAGGUUAAAACAUGUAUUUAUCAUAUCAUCUUGAAACUUCAACACAUAUUGAGUUAUCUAAGUUGUAUUUUUGAAUAAUGUGAAAUAUCUGGUGCUGGAUUUAGUUGAAGUCCAUGAGACUGGAUGUCACGUUUCCAAAAUUUAAACUAAGAAAUGUUGCUGUUAUGUUUUACUCGAUUGAACAUAUAAACAU
Molecule: unclassified non-coding RNA, 1151 nt
Filed under: Hevea brasiliensis (rubber tree)
Lineage: Eukaryota; Viridiplantae; Streptophyta; Magnoliopsida; Malpighiales; Euphorbiaceae
Source: RNAcentral